This is a long non-coding RNA of Strigops habroptila (Kakapo), 639 nucleotides long. RefSeq lists it as uncharacterized. The transcript is spliced from 2 exons. Lineage: Eukaryota; Metazoa; Chordata; Aves; Psittaciformes; Psittacidae. The record is from RefSeq and is a predicted model, not a curated record.
AGGGGGGACAGGAGGCGGCACCAUGGGGACAUGUGAACAGGCGCUGUCCUGCUGCGGUCAUCUCCAUCAGCAUCUGCACCCAGGCUGUUGCACGGGGAUUCACGCUGUCAGCUCCGGCGGCCGUUCCCGCGGGCUCUGGCUCCGCAGGCUCCCCGCUGACACCAGCUCCAGCGUGCUGGGGCAGAUCCCACCCUCUGAAGUGGGGAUUCCCAGAGCGGGAAUGAGGCUUCACCCGGUGCAAACACGCAGCAAACCAGCCCCGUCACAUCGCUCAGGCAUCCCGAGGUCAGCGCCAGCGCCGGCUUCAAAGGUGCUGCACGUCCUCCCACGGCACCUCCACCGGGAAUUCUGCUUCCUCGGCUGCGUGGGGAGAGGAGGUGGCAGCUGGGAUUAGGUCGUGGUCCUGCAGAUCACAGGGAUGCUCAUGUCUGAGCCCCGUGAGGAGCCUGGAGAGAGGGGAUGCAGGAAAGCGGUGCUGUUCCUGCUGCAAGGAGGAGCUUCCCAUCAUCAAAGUCCAUCUAAUUCCACCAGGAUGUGGCUGUGGCCAUGGCCCAGCCGGUGCAUGAGGCUGAGGGAUGGAAACACCAUGGAUGAACCCUAUCUGCAGGUUUCUCAUUAAAGGCUCAUGGCUAAUUACAA